This 492-nucleotide ribosomal RNA is filed under the name uncultured bacterium. RNAcentral describes it as "partial 16S ribosomal RNA". It matches the Rfam family "Bacterial small subunit ribosomal RNA", at positions 29 to 507 of the family's 1533-position model. The record is from RNAcentral.
AGUGAACGCUGGCGGUAGGCCUAACACAUGCAAGUCGAACGGCAGCACAGUAAGAGCUUGCUCUUACGGGUGGCGAGUGGCGGACGGGUGAGGAAUACAUCGGAAUCUACUUUUUCGUGGGGGAUAACGUAGGGAAACUUACGCUAAUACCGCAUACGACCUACGGGUGAAAGUAGGGGAUCUUCGGACCUUGCGCGAUUGAAUGAGCCGAUGUCGGAUUGGCUAGUUGGCGGGGUAAAGGCCCACCAAGGCGACGAUCCGUAGCUGGUCUGAGAGGAUGAUCAGCCACACUGGAACUGAGACACGGUCCAGACUCCUACGGGAGGCAGCAGUGGGGAAUAUUGGACAAUGGGCGCAAGCCUGAUCCAGCCAUACCGCGUGGGUGAAGAAGGCCUUCGGGUUGUAAAGCCCUUUUGUUGGGAAAGAAAAGCAGCAGGUUAAUACCCCGCUGUUCUGACGGUACCCAAAGAAUAAGCACCGGCUAACUUCGUG